Transfer RNA from Loxodonta africana (African savanna elephant), 71 nucleotides. It matches the Rfam family "tRNA". From Rfam's summary of the family: Transfer RNA (tRNA) molecules are approximately 80 nucleotides in length. Lineage: Eukaryota; Metazoa; Chordata; Mammalia; Proboscidea; Elephantidae. The record is from Rfam.
GCACUGGAGGUUCAGUGGUAGAAUUCUUGCCUUCCAUGCCGGAGACCCAGGUUUGAUUCCCAGCCAAUGCG